GCGGCAGGCCUAACACAUGCAAGUCGAACGGUAACAGGAAGCAGCUUGCUGCUUUGCUGACGAGUGGCGGACGGGUGAGUAAUGUCUGGGAAACUGCCUGAUGGAGGGGGAUAACUACUGGAAACGGUGGCUAAUACCGCAUAACGUCGCAAGACCAAAGAGGGGGACCUUCGGGCCUCUUGCCAUCAGAUGUGCCCAGAUGGGAUUAGCUUGUUGGUGAGGUAACGGCUCACCAAGGCGACGAUCCCUAGCUGGUCUGAGAGGAUGACCAGCCACACUGGAACUGAGACACGGUCCAGACUCCUACGGGAGGCAGCAGUGGGGAAUAUUGCACAAUGGGCGCAAGCCUGAUGCAGCCAUGCCGCGUGUAUGAAGAAGGCCUUCGGGUUGUAAAGUACUU
Molecule: ribosomal RNA, 400 nt
Filed under: Salmonella enterica subsp. enterica
Lineage: Bacteria; Pseudomonadati; Pseudomonadota; Gammaproteobacteria; Enterobacterales; Enterobacteriaceae
Description: bacterial SSU rRNA
Rfam family: Bacterial small subunit ribosomal RNA
Source: RNAcentral